This 76-nucleotide transfer RNA is filed under the name bacterium. RNAcentral describes it as "tRNA-Lys". It matches the Rfam family "tRNA". From Rfam's summary of the family: Transfer RNA (tRNA) molecules are approximately 80 nucleotides in length. Their secondary structure includes four short double-helical elements and three loops (D, anti-codon, and T loops). Further hydrogen bonds mediate the characteristic L-shaped molecular structure. tRNAs have two regions of fundamental functional importance: the anti-codon, which is responsible for specific mRNA codon recognition, and the 3' end, to which the tRNAs corresponding amino acid is attached (by aminoacyl-tRNA synthetases). tRNAs cope with the degeneracy of the genetic code in two manners: having more than one tRNA (with a specific anti-codon) for a particular amino acid; and 'wobble' base-pairing, i.e. permitting non-standard base-pairing at the 3rd anti-codon position. The record is from RNAcentral.
CCGCCCAUAGCUCAGCUGGUAGAGCAGGUGGCUCUUAACCACAAGGUCCUAGGUUCGAAUCCUAGUGGGCGGACAA